GCAUAUCAAUAAGCGGAGGAAAAGAAACCAACAGGGAUUGCCCUAGUAACGGCGAGUGAAGCGGCAACAGCUCAAAUUUGAAAUCUGGCUUCGGCCCGAGUUGUAAUUUGUAGAGGAUGCUUUUGGCGCGGUGCCUUCUGAGUUCCCUGGAACGGGACGCCAUAGAGGGUGAGAGCCCCGUAUAGUUGGACACCAAGCCUCUGUAAAGCUCCUUCGACGAGUCGAGUAGUUUGGGAAUGCUGCUCAAAAUGGGAGGUAAAUUUCUUCUAAAGCUAAAUACCGGCCAGAGACCGAUAGCGCACAAGUAGAGUGAUCGAAAGAUGAAAAGCACUUUGAAAAGAGGGUUAAAUAGCACGUGAAAUUGUUGAAAGGGAAGCGCUUAUGACCAGACUUGUUCCCGGUUGAUCAUCCAGUGUUCUCACUGGUGCACUCUGCCGGGAUCAGGCCAGCGUCGGUUCUCGUAGGGGGAUAAAAGCUUCGGGAACGUGGCUCCUCCGGGAGUGUUAUAGCCCGUUGCAUAAUACCCUUAUGGGGACCGAGGUUCGCGCUCUGCAAGGACGCUGGCGUAAUGGUCAUCAGCGACCCGUCUUGAAACACGGACCAAGGAGUCGAGGUUUUGCGCGAGUGUUUGGGUGUAAAACCCGCACGCGUAAUGAAAGUGAACGUAGGUGAGAGCUUCGGCGCAUCAUCGACCGAUCCUGAUGUAUUCGGAUGGAUUUGAGUAAGAGCGUAUAGCCUCGGACCCGAAAGAUGGUGAACUAUGCCUGUAUAGGGUGAAGCCAGAGGAAACUCUGGUGGAGGCUCGCAGCGGUUCUGACGUGCAAAUCGAUCGUCAAAUAUGGGCAUGGGGGCGAAAGACUAAUCGAACCAUCUAGUAGCUGGUUAUCGCCGAA
This 893-nucleotide ribosomal RNA is filed under the name Cordana bisbyi. RNAcentral's name for it is "LSU rRNA". It matches the Rfam family "Eukaryotic large subunit ribosomal RNA", at positions 38 to 965 of the family's 3401-position model. Lineage: Eukaryota; Fungi; Ascomycota; Sordariomycetes; Coniochaetales; Cordanaceae. The record is from RNAcentral.